Molecule: unclassified non-coding RNA, 235 nt
Filed under: plant metagenome
Description: partial contains small subunit ribosomal RNA, internal transcribed spacer 1, and 5.8S ribosomal RNA
Rfam family: Eukaryotic small subunit ribosomal RNA (bases 1-54)
Source: RNAcentral
GGAAGUAAAAGUCGUAACAAAGUUUCCGUAGGUGAACCUGCGGAAGGAUCAUUCAUAAUAAGUGUUUUAUGGCACUUUUUUAAGUCCAUAUCCACCUUGUGUGCAAUGUCAGGGUUGAUUUUUCUCUCGAGAGGAUCAACCCCAAACAUCAACUAUAUCUCAACUCUUUGUCUGAAAAAUAUUAUGAAUAAAACAAUUCAAAAUACAACUUUCAACAACGGAUCUCUUGGCUCUC